ACUCCGUGUCACAGGAAGGGCUUGUGAGCUCUAAUCAUUAUGUAGUAAGGAUUUAUCCUCCUCUCAUUCUCUCUCUCCCUCCUCGCCGGCCGCCUCCCUCCACCCAUCCCGUUUAUUUCCCUCCCUCCGCUCUCAGCUCGCCGGCCGACCCACAACUCUGGCUUUCAGCCGCCGGAUCAUUGUGCAGCGUCUCACCUCGCUCUCCUCGUGAGACCCAUCCUUUUUGUUUUUUGACUUUGUCGACCCGUCACGGUCGAUGCGUUAUCUUCUCUGCAGCUCACAUCAACAGUCUUUCCUGGAUCUGCUUCAGUUGAACCUCCUGUUGGACAAAGAACAAACAACCGUCCCUGGAGAUCAGCUUGUAAUUUCUCGGAUCUUUUACAGGAAGUUUCUUUCCUCCAAACGUUCCCCACUGCUCAACGCGUCUCUGCUCGUCACUCCCCCUCAUCGCGUUGUGGCAUUGAGCCCGCGGGUCGUGUUCAGCCUAAAUGUUUGAAAGGUCGCGCUGUUGUUCAGGACAUGGAGCUGCACCCAGGUCAGUCCACACGGCCAGCGCAGCCCGUCUGCAGGUGACUCACGUCGGCUCUUGUGUCACAAAUUCACAAGAACCUUCAGGCCUGAAGCUGUUUUGCUCCAAAUUGCUCGGCGGGUCGGGCCCCCAGCGCUUCAUGGAGCACGGAGAGGACAAUUGCAUCUGCUGCUUUACAUGCAAGUGGGGUUUCUACAACACCUGCGCUGCGUGGUCCAGUUUACUUAGAGCGAACUGUGGUUUUUACUUGGGAUUCUCAUUAAGCCACACAUAGCGUCAUUAGCGCCAACAUUAGGACCAAAUGAGUUCAAUGUGGGUUUGAGACCACGAUUAUGGCAACAAUUACUUUGCUUAUCAUGACCCCUCUGGUAUUUACCAAACCAGGUGGUAUUAGUUUUUCUCAGUCCCUUUAGUACAAUUCUCAGAUCAGACUAAAAUUCUCAAAACUACUUGUUCAAUCUUCACAUCAUGAUGUCACUUGUGCAGAUCAUAUAAGCAGUUCCUCACUUCUUUGAACAAGUUGAAACUGCUUUGGUACGUGCAUUCAAAUGAUUCUGUACAAAUCACUGCUCUUUGCUACAUCAUCAAUUGUUUAUGUCAUGUUGAUCAAAUGUAUUAUAUAGUUCACUGUGCAAUAGUCUUACUCCUCAAAACAUCUAGUCAUUAGUUCGCAUGUAAGUCAUUAACUGCAAAAUGGUUGAACAAGUUGUCAUAAUGUGACAAACAUAUUUCUAUACAUCUACAUUAUGUUUUUUUUCUAAAUCUGUCCUGAAUUGGUAAAUUGCUCUCAGGUGACUUGACUUUCUCUAACACAGGUGCGUUCCUUAUCCCUAUUGAGCAAUUUUUCUCAGCAUGGAGAUGGAAGGUUUAUGAUCGCCAGCCACAUAAACAAAUGACAUCACAGCAGACGCCUGCAGAGGCUGAUUUAGACACUCCAGAAGAUUCUUUCAACGCUGCAUUGCAAGAAAAGAAAAAAAAAUUCUCUGUGAUGUGGAUGAGAACGUGUGGCCCAACAUACAGGAACGACGGGGUGUAGGAAGACAACACCUUCCUACAGCACCGCAUGUACAGUCUUUUUUUUUCUCUUUGUGUUACUGUUUGCAGUGUUUUUUUUCUACAUUGUAUGACAUGGUCCCUCAACAACUUACAAUAAUUGUCAUCAAAACUUUAGCCAUAGUUUAUAUCAGAACCUCCCUCUAACGUACACAGUUAUAUUGACAAUAUGACUAAGUAAUUUGACUGUGUAUAGACAAUAUGUCUAUACACAUAGACAAUGACACAAGGACUUGACAUUCUGAUGGCAAUGACAUAACAACUUAAAAUGAUUUUGAGCAAGUUACAGGCUUUUGCAAGAAAUUCCUAGUGUUUUGCUGUUUGUACAAAUUGUUUUGAGAAAUGCACACACAUAUUUGCAAACUUGAAUUCUGAUCUGAGAAUUGUACUAAAGCGGCUGAGAAAGUUGUAACAGCUCCUCCAGUUCUAAAAACUGUCAGACCUUGUUCAUAAACAUAGUUCUACAAAUUACACUAUGAAUUCAUGUUUGUAUAUGCUUUAUAGUAUCCAUCUAAUUAAACUGGGAGACACAGAUGUGUGAACAGGUUGAAACAUAGACAUAGUCACCAGGUCAGACCACAGGGUCAAUGGAAGAAGUAUGGCCCAAACAUGUGCUUGUCAGAGUGGAGAAUAAGUUCUGACUCUUUGCUGUGGAUGCAUGUGUUCUACAAUCUUCAGGGUAAUAAUCUAAUCAUCCUGGGUUGGGUGGCUCAAUUGGGGGAUGGCCCACGAAUGGCCUUCUAUAACUUCUAUAAGAGGUCCAGUGCAGGACCAGUAACUCUGGUCAUAAAGUCAAAUAUUGUAGUGGCUGUUUACCACAUUCAUUACGAAUCAGAAUCAGAAUCAGCUAAGUGUUCAUUGCCAGGUACAGUAACACUUUACACUACCACGAACUGGCCUUGGUGUCAGCUGCAUCUAAAAUAUAAACUACUAAAGUUACUAAAUUCUAGGUACUAUAUACUGUACACGGCCAUAGCGUUAAUCUAAUGCAGAAAAUGAAAUAGAAUGGGAAAGUACAUACAGACAAAAUGACUGCCAGUUGCCAUCCCACCACCACAUCCUGUGAGCUGAUGGCAUUUAGCUGGAGACUCCAGCCUCCUCCCUCCUCACCCUAACUUCACAUGUACAGUACACCACACUGGGGGAUGCUUGUUUACAGCACCAGUGACUCCAGUGAGCUGGCGACGUCAGAGCUUCAGGGGUGAUGCAUACUGAUGGGACACGUCGGUAAUGACUCCUGGAGCAGCACGUGAGAGCGUUGGUGUUUGGGUCAUAGAAGGCAAUGACAGCCAAACGUUGUGUUUGUCCACUAGGUGGUGAUGGUGACCCAGCACAUCCGGGACUGCAGCUCAAUCAACGAUUUAAAACAUUUAAAUGCCUUUGUUUCUUGUAUGGCUGCACAAAACAUUGUGGUUUGUGUUGAUGUCCGUGCCUCAUGGGAGGAAAAAAGUUUUCCUACCUACUGUUCUUAAGUCUGACUGGAGCUGAGCUGCAACUAAAAGGCAACUAUUCAAUAAUGAAAACGAAUAAAACUAAAAGUCUUUGUACUGUAUGUAGAUCUCAGUUUGACUAGAGGGUCUCAGGGGCUGCUCCUCUACAAAUAAGGUGUUGACAUCAAAGGAAGCAGCUGAUCAUCUCUGAUUUAACCUGCUUUAAUCUCUGUCAAAUUUGUUUAUUAGUCGUGAGUGAAGCCUUCGAUUCUAGAGCAUCCAUCCAAGGCACUUUCAACACACUCACAUAUUCACUAUUCCUUUUUGGAGCUUGUUCAAACAGCACAUUUCUGUCAUGUGUCACACAGGACACACUCAUCGUGACUGUGUGUUUUGGUUCUUCUCAGGAUGUUUCACAUCAUGCUGGUGGGAACCUUCUGUCUGUUUCCUUAAGGACGCUGUCAGUGAAGACCCAGUUUGGUUUAGAUUGAAACAUCCACAUGGAUCGAGUCUGAAACUGAGCUCUGAACACAUUAGACCACCUCCUCACCCGAGAAGUGCAGGUGUGUUACGCUGAACUUGCUGCUGAGUUCUACUAAUCAGCUGGCUAAACAGUUGAUCUUCCUCUGACUGAGAUGGAAAUGAUUAUUCCUGGUUUUAUUCUCUCACAAGACUGUUUAACUUUAUUUUUGUGAAACAUUUCUGGAUUAAAGUGGUCCAGAUUAAUUUCCGACUCCUGUUCACUUCUGGACAUACUGUUGUUGUUGUUUUUUCCCCACUGAUCCUAGAUUAGCUUGGCUCCUUUCCCAAAGAUGAACCCAGGAACUGAAGAUAGAUGUUGUGGCCCAGUGUGAGCUGACAACAUGCAGCUCACACUGGCAGCUACAUUUCAUCAUGUAAAUGAAACUUUGCUAUAUUUUAUUGUAAACAUCAGACUCAGACAUCCCAUGAGCUUCUACUGUUGCACACUGUAAUACCUCAUUCAAUGCAAUAAAUACUACUACUACUACUAGUAUUUACGUCACAGUCAGUUCUGUCACUGACUCACUACCAGGACCAGCAUAUAAAACGUGACUGUUAAUCUUGUAGCUGUUGACGCCUUUGAUCAGGACUUGGACUUUUGUCCUCUGUGACCUCUUAUUACAUCCUGCCUCAGUGAACGUGUGUCCUUCUAAGAGAUUGUUGCGAUUUCUACUGACCUUCAGCGCAUAUUGCUGAAUUAAACAACACACAAAUUGUGUAUUCAGUAAUUUGAUGAAAUGAAGUAAAUAGGAACAAAUGAACAUCCUGUUACAACACUGUUCUGAUCUGUGUGUUAUUAAGCAGGUCAUAAAGUACAGGCGUUAUAUCCUAAGUAGAAGGAUUUUUACUAACAUUCACAA
Molecule: long non-coding RNA, 4394 nt
Organism: Betta splendens (Siamese fighting fish)
Lineage: Eukaryota; Metazoa; Chordata; Actinopteri; Anabantiformes; Osphronemidae
Exons: 3
Source: RefSeq, a predicted model, not a curated record